RNAcentral lists this ribosomal RNA (371 nucleotides) under uncultured organism. Its description in RNAcentral is "partial 16S ribosomal RNA". It matches the Rfam family "Bacterial small subunit ribosomal RNA", at positions 527 to 896 of the family's 1533-position model. The record is from RNAcentral.
GGAGGGUGCAAGCGUUAAUCGGAAUUACUGGGCGUAAAGCGCGCGUAGGCGGCUUUGUAAGUCGGAUGUGAAAGCCCUGGGCUUAACCUGGGAAUUGCAUUCGAUACUGCAGAGCUAGAGUAUGGUAGAGGGAAGUGGAAUUUCCGGUGUAGCGGUGAAAUGCGUAGAUAUCGGAAGGAACACCAGUGGCGAAGGCGACUUCCUGGGCCAAUACUGACGCUGAGGUGCGAAAGCGUGGGGAGCAAACAGGGAUUAGAUACCCUGGUAGUCCACGCCGUAAACGAUGAGAACUAGAUGUCGGGAGGAUCUGCCUUUCGGUGUCGCAGCUAACGCGUUAAGUUCUCCGCCUGGGGAGUACGCCGGCAACGGUA